GGAGGUAGUGACAAUAAAUCACAAUGCGGGACUAUACGUCUUGCAAUUGGAUUGAGAACAAUGUACAACUCUUAUCGAUAAGCCAUUGGAGGGCAAGUCUGGUGCCAGCAGCCGCGGUAAUUCCAGCUCCAAUAGCGUAUAUUAACGUUGUUGCAGUUAAAAAGCUCGUAGUUGAAGUGUGGGUGGUGCUGUCUGAAUGACUUCGGUUAGUCAGAUGAUCACUACCCCCUUCCAGUAUCCAGUAGUGGGUAUUCACUUACUUACUACUGUGUGUUGGUCCUUUACUGUGAGAAAAUUAGAGUGUUCAAAGCAGGCGUUUGCUUGAAUAGAUUAGCAUGGAAUAAUAAUUGAAGGCUUUCGUGUUCGAUUUGAUUGGUUUGUUCAUGGAAGCAAGGUUAAAAGGAACAGUUGGGGGUAUUCAUAUUCACUAGUUAGAGGUGAAAUUCUCGGAUUUAUGGAAGAUGAACAAGUGCGAAAGCA
RNAcentral lists this ribosomal RNA (480 nucleotides) under Blastocystis sp. RNAcentral describes it as "SSU rRNA". It matches the Rfam family "Eukaryotic small subunit ribosomal RNA", at positions 460 to 953 of the family's 1831-position model. The record is from RNAcentral. Lineage: Eukaryota; Bigyra; Opalinata; Blastocystidae.